This 336-nucleotide unclassified non-coding RNA is filed under the name soil metagenome. RNAcentral's name for it is "partial contains 5.8S ribosomal RNA, internal transcribed spacer 2, and large subunit ribosomal RNA". The stretch from base 1 to 120 matches the Rfam family "5.8S ribosomal RNA", at positions 35 to 154 of the family's 154-position model. The record is from RNAcentral.
GAUGAAGAACGUAGCGAAAUGCGAUAGGUAAUGUGAAUUGCAGAAUUCAGUGAAUCAUCGAAUCUUUGAACGCACAUUGCGCCCGCCAGUAUUCUGGCGGGCAUGCCUGUUCGAGCGUCAUUUCAACCAUCAAGCCCCAGGCUUGUGUUGGGGACCUGCGGCUGCCGCAGGCCCUGAAAACCAGUGGCGGGCUCGCUAGUCACACCGAGCGUAGUAGCAUACACAUCGCUCAGGGCGUGCUGCGGGUUCCGGCCGUUAAACCCCUUUUUUACCCAAGGUUGACCUCGGAUCAGGUAGGAAGACCCGCUGAACUUAAGCAUAUCAAUAAGCGGAGGA